ACAAACAUAAAAGAACUAUUGGCAGCCACACAUUUUUAAAUGAAAAAAUAGUACGUAAUAAAAGAACUACAAGUUUCAUGUACUACAUGGUGUGUGUUUUUUGCGCCUGCAUAUACAGUUGAACUUCAGGCAUCAAAAUCACUUAGACAAUAGGAAUCGACGAUUCUAUCUGGAUACUAUACAACUACAUGGAACAACAUUGACCAAUUCCACCAGAACACGCAUGUGUAGAUUUGAACACUACAAACCACUAGACUAAUCCCUCCUUGCGUUGGCUACAAUUGACCCGGCUUCCAACAGGGUGUUGUGCCAGCGUUGACAGCUCACUAUCCUUGGCUCCUUGCCGUCGAGGUUGGCAGUCGCAGACAUGGUGGCCUAUGCAGUCAACCACCGCCGGACCGUGCACACAGAAUUUUCUGACCUAACAACACACAACGACUUGAACUUCUAUUUGUUUGGAUUUGGAAAAUCGUUUUUCUGAAUACAAUGAGGUUUGGAUGAAAUAGCACAUGAGUUCAGUUAGUUUCUGAACUUUUCUCAAGACAACAAGCUAAGAGCAGGCCAGGGGACCUAAUGAUCGCUUGCUGCUGCCACAGCGGGGUUUCAACUACAGACCUUCUAGAAUGUUAAAUAAUCCCGUACUGUAAUUUCAAGCAUUAUAAACUCAGAAGAUGCCUACAAUUCUCAGUUUGUGCCGAACCUAGGAGUCGAGGAGAUAACCACACAGUCGAGGAGAUAACCACACAGGACUAUUUAGAGGAGUGCAAGUGAAGCAACCUAUUUCUUCAGAAAAUCAACAAACUAAACUUCAGAAAAUAAAAAAAUUGAACUUCACAGGGCCCUGCAAAAAAUACACGGUCAUGAUCAACUUUAAAAACUUCAGAGAAUAGACAAACUGAACUUCUAGAGGGCCAGAUGCUGACCUUUCUCUUUGUAGCGUCGUUGGUGACCUGUAAUUGAAGGUCGGGGAUGAAAGGUAUCACCUCAACGAGUUCAGGCAGCCGGUGCAGGCCAUCCAUGGAGGAGGGGCAAGCUGCAGCGAGGAGGGACCGCGCCGGCCACGGAGCUGGAGGUCCGUCGGCCGCAGGGAAGGAGCGCGCCGGUCGCAGGGAGGGAGG
Molecule: long non-coding RNA, 1118 nt
Filed under: Triticum aestivum (bread wheat)
Lineage: Eukaryota; Viridiplantae; Streptophyta; Magnoliopsida; Poales; Poaceae
Description: long non-coding RNA (TAES_LNC005821)
Source: RNAcentral